AUUGAACGCUGGCGGCAGGCCUAACACAUGCCAGUCGAGCGGAUGAAGGGAGCUUGCUCCUGGAUUCAGCGGCGGACGGGUGAGUAAUGCCUAGGAAUCUGCCUGGUAUUGGGGGAUAACGUCCGGAAACGGGCGCUAAUACCGCAUACGUCCUGAUGGAGAAAGUGGGGGAUCUUCGGACCUCACGCUAUCAGAUGAGCCUAGGUCGGAUUAGCUAGUUGGUGGGGUAAAGGCCUACCAAGGCGACGAUCCGUAACUGGUCUGAGAGGAUGAUCAGUCACACUGGAACUGAGACACGGUCCAGACUCCUAUGGGAGGCAGCAGUGGGGAAUAUUGGACAAUGGGCGAAAGCCUGAUCCAGCCAUGCCGCGUGUGUGAAGAAGGUCUUCGGAUUGUAAAGCACUUUAAGUUAGGAGGAAGGGCAGUAAGUUAAUACCUUGCUGUUUUGACGUUACCAACAGAAUAAGCACCGGCUAACUUCGUG
RNAcentral lists this ribosomal RNA (484 nucleotides) under uncultured bacterium. RNAcentral describes it as "partial 16S ribosomal RNA". It matches the Rfam family "Bacterial small subunit ribosomal RNA", at positions 30 to 507 of the family's 1533-position model. The record is from RNAcentral.